Molecule: ribosomal RNA, 447 nt
Filed under: uncultured bacterium
Lineage: Bacteria
Description: partial 16S ribosomal RNA
Rfam family: Bacterial small subunit ribosomal RNA
Source: RNAcentral
AACGAACGCUGGCGGCAGGCUUAACACAUGCAAGUCGAACGCCCCGCAAGGGGAGUGGCAGACGGGUGAGUAACGCGUGGGAACAUACCCUUUCCUGCGGAAUAGCUCCGGGAAACUGGAAUUAAUACCGCAUACGCCCUACGGGGGAAAGAUUUAUCGGGGAAGGAUUGGCCCGCGUUGGAUUAGCUAGUUGGUGGGGUGAAGGCCUACCAAGGCGACGAUUCAUAGCUGGUCUGAGAGGAUGAUCAGCCACAUUGGGACUGAGACACGGCCCAAGCUCCUACGGGAGGCAGCAGUGGGGAAUAUUGGACAAUGGGCGCAAGCCUGAUCCAGCCAUGCCGCGUGAGUGAUGAAGGCCUUAGGGUUGUAAAGCUCUUUCACCGGAGAAGAUAAUGACGGUAUCCGGAGAAGAAGCCCCGGCUAACUUCGUGCCAGCCGCCGCAGUAA